Molecule: non-coding RNA, 192 nt
Organism: Nerophis lumbriciformis (worm pipefish)
Lineage: Eukaryota; Metazoa; Chordata; Actinopteri; Syngnathiformes; Syngnathidae
Source: RefSeq, a predicted model, not a curated record
UGCCCCCAUCUCAACAGAUAUAAUCCGUGAUUUCUACGGCAACUACGACCGAUUCACUAAGUACGACUGCCCCCAUUUCUACAGAUUUAAUCCGUGAUUUCUACGGCAACUACGACAUAUUCGCCGAGUACGACUGCCCCCAUCUCUACAGAUUUAAACCGUGAGUUCUACGCCAACUACGACCGAUUCGCC